Molecule: long non-coding RNA, 430 nt
Organism: Acyrthosiphon pisum (pea aphid)
Lineage: Eukaryota; Metazoa; Arthropoda; Insecta; Hemiptera; Aphididae
Exons: 4
Source: RefSeq, a predicted model, not a curated record
UUUGUAUGAAUUAAUGCAUUCAAUUAUCACAUAAUAUUAUAUACUGGUAUUUUAAGAGUUGUUUGAUGGAACAACUACCCAUCAUGUAUCACUUGAACUAAUUCCAUUACAUUUGCAAUCAAAAUCUGAAAUAAUGGUAAAGAACAACUCAAAUGUUAAAAAAAUAACUGUAGGUGGUCAAAUCUUAUGGUUCAACUAACAAGGAACACAUGUCAUUUUGUUUAGAGGUCUUAGAGAUGCCUAUGUGAGCUAUAGAUUUGUUUCAAAAGACCAAGAAGAAUCUAGAAGAAGGAACCUUUCGAAACUCUGAUUCAUAGUUGUAUGGAUGAUAAUGCAUUAAGACAUAUUUAUCACAAACACCGGCAAAUAUUGAAUACAAUUAUUAUAAUUUAUUCUAAUCAUAAAUAAAUACUGUUUUAUUUUACUGCAU